Molecule: non-coding RNA, 45 nt
Filed under: Schistosoma bovis
Lineage: Eukaryota; Metazoa; Platyhelminthes; Trematoda; Strigeidida; Schistosomatidae
Also listed under: 1 other name
Source: RNAcentral
AUCCAGCUGAUGAGUCCUAAAUAGGACGAAACGCGAUCCUUAGAU